Molecule: non-coding RNA, 1017 nt
Organism: Heterocephalus glaber (naked mole-rat)
Lineage: Eukaryota; Metazoa; Chordata; Mammalia; Rodentia; Bathyergidae
Source: RefSeq, a predicted model, not a curated record
CUAAUAAAAGAUGUAUCUACAUUUCUUCUAGGUUACCUUCCGAACAAGAAUCUAUCACUGUAAUAUUAACAGCCAAGGCGUGAUCUGUUUGGAUAUCCUAAAGGAUAACUGGAGUCCAGCCCUAACCAUCUCUAAAGUCCUUCUCUCCAUCUGCUCACUUCUCACAGAUUGCAACCCUGCCGACCCUCUGGUGGGCAGCAUUGCCACACAGUACAUGACCAACAGAGCAGAGCAUGACCGGAUGGCCAGACAGUGGACCAAGCGGUAUGCCACAUAGGGGCCUGCCACUGCUGCCCCUGCCGGACCUGUGCAAGCACAUUCACCAAGUGCAUCAAUAGCCCUACCACCCCUCUGGACCUCGGUUCUUAUCUUCCUAGUUUUAUUAAAUUUUGAACUGUUUUGUGAUGGUAUGUCAUUAUUCACUCCCUUCCUCCUCCUUCCUCCCUCCUCUGUCCUCCCCUUUUCUCUCUCCCUCUCUUUUCUCUUUUCCUUUUCUGUUAACUUGAAAGAUUUUGGAUUUUUUUUCCCCACCUCAAUGUGGAUGGGAACUUUUGUUUUCAGUGCAGACGAUGUUGGAUCUGUAAUAGUAAGAGCUUUCUUACAAAGCUUUGUAUUACUGUGUGGUUUUGUUUCUGUUGGUUUUUUUUGUUUUUUUUUUUCUUUUAUGUGAUCUUUGGAAAAACACAAAUUCAGAAUUAUAUCUUGUUUCUACUUAAAUGUAGUGCUUAGGGUUAAUUUUUUGUACUGAAGUCUUUAUUGGUGGGUGCAUGCUACUGGGAACAAGUUUUUGUACAAAAGCUUCAAUCAGAAUCACUGUGCAUUACUGAGACCCUGUUUAUCACUAGCCUUCUGUUCCCCAUGCAGAAGACUAUUGGAUGGAACAAAAAUAAUAAUGUAUUUUGAUUUACUUAAAGUGCUUGUAAAUUUCUUAGGGACCUGCCACUUUUGACUGUGGAUCAGUUGAUGUACACUUGUAUUAUUAAAACACUCAAUAAAUCACUGUGGCUGAUAAAUGUA